AUUGAACGCUGGCGGCAGGCCUAACACAUGCAAGUCGAACGGUAACAGGAAGAAGCUUGCUUCUUUGCUGACGAGUGGCGGACGGGUGAGUAAUGUCUGGGAAACUGCCUGAUGGAGGGGGAUAACUACUGGAAACGGUAGCUAAUACCGCAUAACGUCGCAAGACCAAAAAGGGGGACCUUCGGGCCUCUUGCCAUCGGAUGUGCCCAGAUGGGAUUAGCUAGUAGGUGGGGUAACGGCUCACCUAGGCGACGAUCCCUAGCUGGUCUGAGAGGAUGACCAGCCACACUGGAACUGAGACACGGUCCAGACUCCUACGGGAGGCAGCAGUGGGGAAUAUUGCACAAUGGGCGCAAGCCUGAUGCAGCCAUGCCGCGUGUAUGAAGAAGGCCUUCGGGCUGUAAAGUACUUUCAGCGGGGAGGAAGGGAGUAAAGUUAAUACCUUUGCUCAUUGACGUUACCCGCAGAAGAAGCACCGGCUAACUCCGUG
Molecule: ribosomal RNA, 490 nt
Filed under: uncultured bacterium
Lineage: Bacteria
Description: partial 16S ribosomal RNA
Rfam family: Bacterial small subunit ribosomal RNA
Source: RNAcentral